GUGCUCGCUUUGGCAGCACAUAUACUAAAACUGGAAUGAUACAGAGAAGAUUAGCAUGGCCCCUGUGCAAGGAUGACACGCAAAUUCCUGAAGCGUUCCAUAUUUAA
This 107-nucleotide small nuclear RNA is filed under the name Ovis aries (sheep). The record is from RNAcentral. Lineage: Eukaryota; Metazoa; Chordata; Mammalia; Artiodactyla; Bovidae.